CAAUGUUCAGGUACAAUUCUUCUUUUUGCUAUACAUUUGGUUUAGGCUUCCUAUGGUAACUCGUUUCAAUAGAGGUUUUUUGGUAACAACAUGGUAUUAACAAUGAUAAUAUAUUAAACAUAUAAAUAAAUAUAUAUAACAUUAAUAGAUACAUCAAAUAACAUAUAUAUAGCUUUUUUCAUAAACAUAUGUUUGAGGGCUACAUACUUUUGAUCUAGUUGGGUCUUGACUAUUUUACUGGUUUCUAGAUUUCUGCCUUUUGAUGUCAUAAUUCUCUAGCUUCUAUUCUAGCAAUGCUGAGUUACCUAUUUGUUACAAUUUCCACAUUUUAAUGUAAUUCACAUAUUUUAUUCUUCCUAUCCCUCUUGUGCCCUUUUUCAUACAAUGCUUAGUAGAAAAUACAUAAUUAAAAAUUGUUCUUUUGUUUGUUAUAGGCCACUAUCGGUUGGAAAGGAAUCAAAAAUCGGAUUUGUUGACACAAGGCGCUUCAUCAAUAUUGAAUUUAUUAAGACAGUAUGUCCGCAUAAAACGAGAGAUCUCUGCCAUACGUCGCUCCACAGGAUUAGCUCUGGGGUUAUAAAAAGAAGUUCUUGACCAUUUAAUAUUAGCCAGGAAAGCUGCACUGAAUUUGUCUAAUGUCCUGAAUUCGUGAUUAUGGAUCUGGAAGAACAUCAGAGGUUCACCGCUCAACAAACUGUUUAAUCGAAGUCGCCACAUAUUCCAAGAGAUGUGACUCUGCCUCCAGGGAUACUGGAUCUGCGGGCUGCUCCUCACCCCCCUCGAUGUUGAUCUCUGCUAUCCUCUGGUUCAGCGGUGCGUCGGUGGCGUCGAUCUGAGUGGAUGACAGAGGUUGCAGAUUUUGUGGAUCAAAAACUAUUGACCCAC
Long non-coding RNA from Nilaparvata lugens (brown planthopper), 885 nucleotides. RefSeq lists it as uncharacterized. The record is from RefSeq and is a predicted model, not a curated record. Lineage: Eukaryota; Metazoa; Arthropoda; Insecta; Hemiptera; Delphacidae. The transcript is spliced from 4 exons.